UACAGAGGUCCCAAGCGUUGUUCGGAUUCACUGGGCGUAAAGGGUGCGUAGGCGGUCGGGUAAGUCUGAUGUGAAAUCUCACAGCUUAACUGUGAAACUGCAUUGGAUACUAUCCGGCUCGAGGAAUGGAGGGGAGACUGGAAUACUUGGUGUAGCAGUGAAAUGCGUAGAUAUCAAGUGGAACACCAGUGGCAAAGGCGAGUCUCUGGACAUUUCCUGACGCUGAGGCACGAAAGCCAGGGGAGCAAACGGG
RNAcentral lists this ribosomal RNA (253 nucleotides) under uncultured bacterium. RNAcentral's name for it is "partial 16S ribosomal RNA". It matches the Rfam family "Bacterial small subunit ribosomal RNA", at positions 524 to 776 of the family's 1533-position model. The record is from RNAcentral.